Molecule: ribosomal RNA, 397 nt
Filed under: uncultured bacterium
Lineage: Bacteria
Description: partial 16S ribosomal RNA
Rfam family: Bacterial small subunit ribosomal RNA
Source: RNAcentral
AUACGUAGGGGGCGAGCGUUGUCCGGAAUGAUUGGGCGUAAAGGGCGCGUAGGCGGCGCGGUAAGUCUGGAGUGAAAGUCCUGCUUUCAAGGUGGGAAUUGCUUUGGAUACUGCCGCGCUUGAGUGCAGGAGAGGUUAUCGGAAUUCCCGGUGUAGCGGUGAAAUGCGUAGAGAUCGGGAGGAACACCAGUGGCGAAGGCGGGUAACUGGACUGCAACUGACGCUGAGGCGCGAAAGUGUGGGGAGCAAACAGGAUUAGAUACCCUGGUAGUCCACACUGUAAACGAUGAAUGCUAGGUGUAAGAGGUAUCGACCCCUUUUGUGCCGGAGUCGACACAAUAAGCAUUCCGCCUGGGGAGUACGGCCGCAAGGUUGAAACUCAAAGGAAUUGACGGGG